AACAACAUCGAUAAAAAACCAGACAGAUGAAAUAGAUAAAACUGGCUGAUACACUUGCAAUUAGCUGCGUUGACUGCACCUCCAUCAAACCAAAAUAACAGACGUCCCAACAAUAAAAGUGAUUAAACAACUAGAGUCAUCUGCCAGGCCUCACAGCAGCACUACAUACAAAUUGAAGCGAUAUGAUUUUAAAGUUUGUGAUAUGAGCAAAAUAUAAGAAACAAAUGAAAUCUGAUUCAACAUUGUUGGUGUUUUUAAAUAUAAAAACUGAUGAAAAAAAAAAGAUCUGCGACAGUAAAGAAUCAUGCAUACAUCACUUGUAUUUAUGCAAUGAAUGUGCAAGUUCACUAUUUGCUUUUAACAGAAAACCCUAAUCUUACAACGCACAAAUUGUAUUUAAAUACUAUGGUUCAUAUUACAACAUCACCCCUAAACCAAAAAGAUUUGAGUGGAAUGUGACCGUUUACAUUGGCUCCCCUACAAAUGUUAACAUGGUGUGUUGCCGAUAAGUAUGAUAGAACAACAAACCGGUUCCAAAAACUAAAGAUUAAAGAAACAAUAAAAGCAGAUAAUACACAAUAUUUGAUAACAAAGUUCUGCCAAUAUUGCUUACGUCUCCGACUGCAGAGCAGCUGCAGUUCCUUUGUAUUUACAACAUCACACCUAAACCAAACCUCCAGUCACCACUCCACAUAAAACGUUUGGGCUUGGUCCAAGGAAUAUGAGCUCGAUUGACCCUGCCCACUUAACAGGUUCCUUUGACUCAUCUCUUAUGAGUUAUGACUUAUGAGUGAUACUCAACAAUAGCUGACAAACAUGAUUCCUUUGAAUCAAAUCUUGAUCUUUGCCCUCUUUGAAUUUGGAUUUUCUUCAUCAUCAUCAUCUACUG
RNAcentral lists this long non-coding RNA (889 nucleotides) under Trifolium pratense (red clover). RNAcentral's name for it is "long non-coding RNA (TPRA_LNC004953)". Lineage: Eukaryota; Viridiplantae; Streptophyta; Magnoliopsida; Fabales; Fabaceae. The record is from RNAcentral.